UGCCAGCCGCCGCGGUAAUACGGAGGGUGCAAGCGUUAAUCGGAAUUACUGGGCGUAAAGGGUGCGUAGGCGGUUUAAUAAGUCGGGUGUGAAAGCCCCAAGCUUAACUUGGGAAUUGCAUCCGAUACUGUUGAACUAGAGUGUGGUAGAGGGAAGCGGAAUUCCGGGUGUAGCGGUGAAAUGCGUAGAUAUCCGGAGGAACACCAGUGGCGAAGGCGGCUUCCUGGACCAACACUGACGCUCAAGCACGAAAGCGUGGGGAGCAAACAGGAUUAGAUA
Molecule: ribosomal RNA, 279 nt
Filed under: uncultured bacterium
Lineage: Bacteria
Description: partial 16S ribosomal RNA
Rfam family: Bacterial small subunit ribosomal RNA
Source: RNAcentral